This 440-nucleotide ribosomal RNA is filed under the name uncultured bacterium. Its description in RNAcentral is "partial 16S ribosomal RNA". It matches the Rfam family "Bacterial small subunit ribosomal RNA", at positions 338 to 795 of the family's 1533-position model. The record is from RNAcentral.
CCUACGGGGGGCAGCAGUGGGGAAUAUUGCACAAUGGGGGAAACCCUGAUGCAGCGACGCCGCGUGAGUGAAGAAGUAUUUCGGUAUGUAAAGCUCUGUCAGCAGGGAAGAAAAUGAAGGUACCUGACCAAGAAGACCCGGCUAACUACGUGCCAGCAGCCGCGGUACUACGUAGGGGGCAAGCGUUAUCCGGAUUUACUGGGUGUAAAGGGAGCGUAGAGGGCAGGGCGAGUCUGUAGUGAAAGGCGGGGGCUCAACCCCCAGACUGCUCUUGAAACUGUCAGGCUGGAGUGCAGGAGAGGUAAGUGGAAUUCGUAGUGUAGCGGUGAAAUGCGUAGAUAUUAGGAGGAACACCAGUGGCGAAGGCGGCUUACUGGACUGUAACUGACGUUGAGGCUCGAAAGCGUGGGGAGCAAACAGGAUUAGAUACCCGGGUAGUC